RNAcentral lists this ribosomal RNA (497 nucleotides) under uncultured bacterium. RNAcentral describes it as "partial 16S ribosomal RNA". It matches the Rfam family "Bacterial small subunit ribosomal RNA", at positions 28 to 507 of the family's 1533-position model. The record is from RNAcentral.
GAUGAACGCUGGCGGCGUGCCUAAUACAUGCAAGUCGAGCGAACAGACGAGGAGCUUGCUCCUCUGACGUUAGCGGCGGACGGGUGAGUAACACGUGGAUAACCUACCUAUAAGACUGGGAUAACUUCGGGAAACCGGAGCUAAUACCGGAUAACAUGUUGAACCGCAUGGUUCAACAGUGAAAGACGGUCUUGCUGUCACUUAUAGAUGGAUCCGCGCCGCAUUAGCUAGUUGGUAAGGUAACGGCUUACCAAGGCAACGAUGCGUAGCCGACCUGAGAGGGUGAUCGGCCACACUGGAACUGAGACACGGUCCAGACUCCUACGGGAGGCAGCAGUAGGGAAUCUUCCGCAAUGGGCGAAAGCCUGACGGAGCAACGCCGCGUGAGUGAUGAAGGUCUUCGGAUCGUAAAACUCUGUUAUUAGGGAAGAACAAAUGUGUAAGUAACUAUGCACGUCUUGACGGUGCCUAAUCAGAAAGCCACGGCUAACUACGUG